UGAAAAGUAUUUAAUUGCCAAAGGAGGAACUCCUAAAAACCUCCCAUCCAUAGAACGUGCUGGAGAGAAUGUGAUGCAGAGAACCACCUUAUUUAGAAGGGUGUCAGAUUUUCAUUCCCUCAGUAACCUUUCCUCCUCAAUUGACUCAAUCACCUUUAUUGGGGGCGGGUUUUAGGAAGUGAGUUGGCUUGCGCUUUGGCAAGGAAAGGGAGGCAAACUGGUCUUGAAGUUAUCCAGAUGUUCCCUGAGAGUGGUAACAUGGGAAAAGUUCUUUCAGAAUAUCUUAGCCACUGGACCACCGAAAAGGUGCGAGGAGAAGGUAUAAAUGUCAUGUCUGAUACUGUUGUUAAACUUGUUAGUAAUUAGAAUGGCAAAUUUAACAUUUCUCUAAAGGAUGGAAGACAGGUGUAGACAGAUCACAUAGUAGCCGCAGUUGGUUUAGAACCCAACACAGAACUGGCAAAAUCUGCCGGCUUAGAACUCAAUGGUGACUUCGGGGGAUACAGGGUUAAUGCGGAACUCCAGGCUCGCAACAAUGUGUGGGUGGCAGGAGAUGCAGCUUGUUUCUAUGAUAUUAAACUUGGCCACAGGCGAGUUGAGCACCAUGAUCAUGCGGUUGUAAGUGGAAGACUUGCUGGGGAGAAUAUGACCAGAGCUGCUAACCCUUAUUGGCAUCAAUCUAUGUUCUGGAGUGAUCUUGGUCCUGAUGUUGGCUAUGAAGCCCUUGGUAUUGUUGACAGUUCACUGCCAACUGUUGGUGUGUUUACCCGGGCCACAGAGAAGGAUACACCAAAAAGUGCAGCUGAAUUAAGUGGCACAGGCAUCCGUUCUGAGAGUGAUACCAGGGAAAUAAUUCAGACAGAAAAUACUGCCUCUCCUGUCUUACCUCAAUCAUUUCCUCCUUCCACGCAGCAGAGGGAAACCUAUGGAAAAGGAGUGGUGUUUUACAUGUGUUACAACAUAGUAGUGGGGAUUUUGCUGUGGAAUAUCUUUAAUCGAAUACCUAUUGCACGCAAAAUAAUUAAGGAUGGUGAGGAGCAUUCUGUCCUC
Pelobates cultripes (western spadefoot toad) is the source of this 1050-nucleotide non-coding RNA. The record is from the annotation of a GenBank genome assembly. Lineage: Eukaryota; Metazoa; Chordata; Amphibia; Anura; Pelobatidae.